UACGAAGGGGGCUAGCGUUGCUCGGAAUCACUGGGCGUAAAGGGCGCGUAGGCGGACUUUUAAGUCGGAGGUGAAAGCCCAGGGCUCAACCCUGGAAUUGCCUUCGAUACUGGGAGUCUUGAGUUCGGAAGAGGUUGGUGGAACUGCGAGUGUAGAGGUGAAAUUCGUAGAUAUUCGCAAGAACACCAGUGGCGAAGGCGGCCAACUGGUCCGAUACUGACGCUGAGGCGCGAAAGCGUGGGGAG
This 245-nucleotide ribosomal RNA is filed under the name uncultured bacterium. RNAcentral's name for it is "partial 16S ribosomal RNA". It matches the Rfam family "Bacterial small subunit ribosomal RNA", at positions 524 to 768 of the family's 1533-position model. The record is from RNAcentral.